UGGGGAAUAUUGGACAAUGGGGGCAACCCUGAUCCAGCAAUGCCGCGUGUGUGAUGAAGGCCUUAGGGUUGUAAAGCACUUUCACUGGUGAAGAUGAUGACGGUAACCAGAGAAGAAGCCCCGGCUAACUUCGUGCCAGCAGCCGCGGUAAUACGAAGGGGGCGAGCGUUGUUCGGAAUUACUGGGCGUAAAGGGCGCGUAGGCGGUCUUUUAAGUUAGGCGUGAAAUCCCCGGGCUCAACCUGGGAACUGCGCUUAAGACUGGAAGACUAGAAAACGGAAGAGGGUAGUGGAAUUCCCAGUGUAGAGGUGAAAUUCGUAGAUAUUGGGAAGAACACCAGUGGCGAAAGCGGCUACCUGGUCCGAUUUUGACGCUGAGGCGCGAAAGCGUGGGGAGCAAACAGG
Molecule: ribosomal RNA, 404 nt
Filed under: uncultured bacterium
Lineage: Bacteria
Description: bacterial SSU rRNA
Rfam family: Bacterial small subunit ribosomal RNA
Source: RNAcentral